RNAcentral lists this small RNA (68 nucleotides) under Sporolactobacillus laevolacticus DSM 442. RNAcentral describes it as "Bacillaceae-1 RNA". It matches the Rfam family "Bacillaceae-1 RNA". The record is from Rfam by way of RNAcentral. Lineage: Bacteria; Bacillati; Bacillota; Bacilli; Caryophanales; Sporolactobacillaceae.
CAUAGGGGAACUUCAACUAAGAGCGCGUACGUCUUGUACGCAACGUUGAAGUCAUCACAUCCUGUGAA